AUUGAACGCUGGCGGCAUGCCUUACACAUGCAAGUCGAACGGUAACGGGUCCUUCGGGAUGCCGACGAGUGGCGAACGGGUGAGUAAUAUAUCGGAACGUGCCCAGUAGUGGGGGAUAACUGCUCGAAAGAGCAGCUAAUACCGCAUACGACCUGAGGGUGAAAGGGGGGGAUCGCAAGACCUCUCGCUAUUGGAGCGGCCGAUAUCAGAUUAGCUAGUUGGUGGGGUAAAGGCCUACCAAGGCAACGAUCUGUAGUUGGUCUGAGAGGACGACCAGCCACACUGGGACUGAGACACGGCCCAGACUCCUACGGGAGGCAGCAGUGGGGAAUUUUGGACAAUGGGCGCAAGCCUGAUCCAGCAAUGCCGCGUGCAGGAAGAAGGCCUUCGGGUUGUAAACUGCUUUUGUCAGGGAAGAAAUCUUCUGGGCUAAUACCCCGGGAGGAUGACGGUACCUGAAGAAUAAGCACCGGCUAACUACGUGCCAGCAGCCGCGGUAAUACGUAGGGUGCGAGCGUUAAUCGGAAUUACUGGGCGUAAAGCGUGCGCAGGCGGCUUUGCAAGACAGAUGUGAAAUCCCCGGGCUCAACCUGGGAACUGCAUUUGUGACUGCAAGGCUAGAGUACGGCAGAGGGGGAUGGAAUUCCGCGUGUAGCAGUGAAAUGCGUAGAUAUGCGGAGGAACACCAAUGGCGAAGGCAAUCCCCUGGGCCUGUACUGACGCUCAUGCACGAAAGCGUGGGGAGCAAACACGAUUAGAUACCCUGGUAGUCCACGCCCUAAACGAUGUCAACUGGUUGUUGGACGGCUUGCUGUUCAGUAACGAAGCUAACGCGUGAAGUUGACCGCCUGGGGAGUACGCCCGCAAGGUUGAAACUCAAAGGAAUUGACGGGGACCCGCACAAGCGGUGGAUGAUGUGGUUUAAUUCGAUGCAACGCGAAAAACCUUACCUACCCUUGACAUGUCAAGAAUUCUGCAGAGAUGUGGAAGUGCUUGAAAGAGAACUUGAACACAGGUGCUGCAUGCCCGUCGUCAGCUCGUGUCGUGAGAUGUUGGGUUAAGUCCCGCAACGAGCGCAACCCUUGUCAUUAGUUGCUACGCAGGAGCACUCUAAUGAGACUGCCGGUGACAAACCGGAGGAAGGUGGGGAUGACGUCAGGUCCUCAUGGCCCUUAUGGGUAGGGCUACACACGUCAUACAAUGGCCGGUACAGAGGGCUGCCAACCCGCGAGGGGGAGCCAAUCCCAGAAACCCGGUCGUAGUCCGGAUGGUAGUCUGCAAUUCGGUUGCGUGAAGUCGGAAUCGCUAGUAAUCGCGGAUCAGCUUGCCGCGGUGAAUACGUUCCCGGGUCU
Molecule: ribosomal RNA, 1352 nt
Filed under: uncultured bacterium
Lineage: Bacteria
Description: bacterial SSU rRNA
Rfam family: Bacterial small subunit ribosomal RNA
Source: RNAcentral